GAUGAACGCUGGCGGCGUGCCUAAUACAUGCAAGUCGAGCGAACGGACGAGAGGCUUGCUUUUCUGAUGUUAGCGGCGGACGGGUGAGUAACACGUGGAUAACCUACCUAUAAGACUGGGAUAACUUCGGGAAACCGGAGCUACUACCGGAUAAUAUUUUGAACCGCAUGGUUCAAAAGUGAAAGACGGUCUUGCUGUCACGUAUAGAUGGAUCCGCGCUGCAUUAUCUAGUUGGUCAGGUAACGGAUUACCAAGGCGACGAUGGAAAGCCCACCCCAGAGGGUGGUCGGCCACCCUGGAAGUGAGAAACGGCCCCGACACCUACGGGAGGCCGCAGUACGGAAUCCUCCGCGAUGGGGCAAAGGCUGACGGAGCAACGUGGCGUGAGGCAUGAAGGAGCUCGGCUGGGUAAAUGCUGUUAGUAGGGAAGAACAUAUGUUCUUGUAACUGUGAAGAUCUUGACGGUACCUAAUCAGAAAGCCACGGCUAACUACGUG
This 497-nucleotide ribosomal RNA is filed under the name uncultured bacterium. RNAcentral describes it as "partial 16S ribosomal RNA". It matches the Rfam family "Bacterial small subunit ribosomal RNA", at positions 28 to 507 of the family's 1533-position model. The record is from RNAcentral.